GACGAACGCUGGCGGCGUGCUUAACACAUGCAAGUCGAACGGAAAGGCCUGCAGCUUGCUGCGGGUACUCGAGUGGCGAACGGGUGAGUAACACGUGGGUGAUCUGCCUUGCACUUCGGGAUAAGCUUGGGAAACUGGGUCUAAUACCGGAUAGGACAGCUGUUUAGUGUCAGUUGUGGAAAGUUUUUUUCGGUGCAAGAUGAGCUCGCGGCCUAUCAGCUUGUUGGUGGGGUAAUGGCCUACCAAGGCGUCGACGGGUAGCCGGCCUGAGAGGGUGUACGGCCACAUUGGGACUGAGAUACGGCCCAGACUCCUACGGGAGGCAGCAGUGGGGAAUAUUGCACAAUGGGCGGAAGCCUGAUGCAGCGACGCCGCGUGGGGGAUGAAGGCCUUCGGGUUGUAAACUCCUUUCGACAGGGACGAAGCUUUUGUGACGGUACCUGUAUAAGAAGCACCGGCUAACUACGUGCCAGCAGCCGCGGUAAUACGUAGGGUGCGAGCGUUGUCCGGAAUUACUGGGCGUAAAGAGCUCGUAGGUGGUUUGUCGCGUCGUCUGUGAAAUUCCGGGGCGUAACUCCGGGCGUGCAGGCGAUACGGGCUGACUUGAGUGCUGUAGGGGAGACUGGAAUUCCUGGUGUAGCGGUGAAAUGCGCAGAUAUCAGGAGGAACACCGAUGGCGAAGGCAGGUCUCUGGGCAGUAACUGACGCUGAGGAGCGAAAGCAUGGGUAGCGAACAGGAUUAGAUACCCUGGUAGUCCAUGCCGUAAACGGUGGGCGCUAGGUGUAGGGGGCUUCCACGUCUUCUGUGCCGUAGCUAACGCAUUAAGCGCCCCGCCUGGGGAGUACGGCCGCAAGGCUAAAACUCAAAGGAAUUGACGGGGGCCCGCGCAAGCGGUGGAGCAUGUGGUUUAAUUCGAAGCAACGCGAAGAACCUUACCAAAUCUUGACAUCCUUUGACAACUCUAGAGAUAGAGCCUUCCCCUUCGGGGGACAAAGUGACAGGUGGUGCAUGGUUGUCGUCAGCUCGUGUCGUGAGAUGUUGGGUUAAGUCCCGCAACGAGCGCAACCCUUAUAUCUAGUUGCCAGCAGUAAGAUGGGGACUCUAGAUAGACUGCCAGUGAUAAACUGGAGGAAGGUGGGGAUGACGUCAAAUCAUCAUGCCCCUUAUGACUUGGGCUACACACGUGCUACAAUGGAUAGGAACAAAGAGAAGCGAGCUCGCGAGAGUAAGCAAACCUCACAAAACUAUUCUCAGUUCGGAUUGUAGUCUGCAACUCGACUACAUGAAGCUGGAAUCGCUAGUAAUCGCGAAUCAGAAUGUCGCGGUGAAUACGUUCCCGGGUCU
Molecule: ribosomal RNA, 1345 nt
Filed under: uncultured bacterium
Lineage: Bacteria
Description: bacterial SSU rRNA
Rfam family: Bacterial small subunit ribosomal RNA
Source: RNAcentral